AUGCCCUCCUGCUGUUGCUGCUGCUUCCACUCGGCGAAGACGUCGUCCGCCCUGAGGCGGCGGUCGGCGGCGAUGGUGUCGGAGACGGCGAGGGUGAGGUUAGCGGUGAAGUCGCAGUGGGUGAGGGUGUAAGCUCUGGGGAACCCGGAGCUGCUGUUCCCGUGGCUGUGGGCGAACUCUACCGUCAGCUUGCCGGCAUCGAAGCUGGU
RNAcentral lists this unclassified non-coding RNA (209 nucleotides) under Hevea brasiliensis (rubber tree). Lineage: Eukaryota; Viridiplantae; Streptophyta; Magnoliopsida; Malpighiales; Euphorbiaceae. The record is from RNAcentral.